This 72-nucleotide transfer RNA is filed under the name Camelus bactrianus (Bactrian camel). It matches the Rfam family "tRNA". Rfam says of the family: Transfer RNA (tRNA) molecules are approximately 80 nucleotides in length. Their secondary structure includes four short double-helical elements and three loops (D, anti-codon, and T loops). The record is from Rfam by way of RNAcentral. RNAcentral also lists the same sequence under 2 other names. Lineage: Eukaryota; Metazoa; Chordata; Mammalia; Artiodactyla; Camelidae.
GAGGGUAGAGCUCAGGGGUAGAGUGUGUGCUUAGUGUGCAUGAGGUCCUGGGUUCAGUCCCCAGCACCUCCA